Molecule: ribosomal RNA, 464 nt
Filed under: uncultured bacterium
Lineage: Bacteria
Description: partial 16S ribosomal RNA
Rfam family: Bacterial small subunit ribosomal RNA
Source: RNAcentral
AUGAACGUUGGCGGCGUGGAUUAGGCAUGCAAGUCGAGCGAGAACCCCGCAAGGGGGGACAGCGGCGAAAGGGACAGUAAUGUGUAGAUUAUCUGCCCUCAGGUCCGGGAUAGCUGCGGGAAACUGCAGGUAAUACCGGAUAACAUCUCCGGAUCAAAGGUGUGAUUCCGCCUGAGGAUGAGUCUGCAUCCUAUUAGCUAGUUGGUGGGGUAAUGGCCUACCAAGGCAUUGAUGGGUAGCAGGUGUGAGAGCACGACCUGCGUCAUUGGGACUGAGACACUGCCCAGACACCUACGGGUGGCUGCAGUCGAGAAUCUUCGGCAAUGGGCGCAAGCCUGACCGAGCGACGCCGCGUGUGGGAUGAAGGCCUUCGGGUUGUAAACCACUGUCAGAGGGGAUGAAAUGCAGGUGGGUUCUCCCAUCUGUUUGACAUAGCCUCAGAGGAAGGACGGGCUAAGUUCGUG